UAAUACGUAGGGUGCGAGCGUUAAUCGGAAUUACUGGGCGUAAAGCGUGCGCAGGCGGUUAUGUAAGACAGAUGUGAAAUCCCCGGGCUCAACCUGGGAACUGCAUUUGUGACUGCAUGACUGGAGUGCGGCAGAGGGGGAUGGAAUUCCGCGUGUAGCAGUGAAAUGCGUAGAUAUGCGGAGGAACACCGAUGGCGAAGGCAAUCCCCUGGGCCUGCACUGACGCUCAUGCACGAAAGCGUGGGGAGCAAACAGGAUUAGAUACCCUGGUAGUCCACGCCCUAAACGAUGUCAACUGGUUGUUGGACGGCUUGCUGUUCAGUAACGAAGCUAACGCGUGGAGUUGACCGCCUGGGGAGUACGGCCGCAAGGUUG
This 375-nucleotide ribosomal RNA is filed under the name uncultured bacterium. RNAcentral describes it as "bacterial SSU rRNA". It matches the Rfam family "Bacterial small subunit ribosomal RNA", at positions 521 to 896 of the family's 1533-position model. The record is from RNAcentral.